UGAGGAAUAUUGGACAAUGGGCGAAAGCCUGAUCCAGCCAUGCCGCGUGAGUGAAGAAGGCCCUAGGGUUGUAAAGCUCUUUCAAUCGUGAAGAUAAUGACGGUAGCGAUAGAAGAAGCUCCGGCUAACUCAGUGCCAGCAGCCGCGGUAAUACUGGGGGAGCGAGCGUUGUUCGGAAUCACUGGGCGUAAAGCGUGCGCAGGCGGAUUGGAAAGUCAGAAGUGAAAUCCCAGGGCUCAACCCUGGAACUGCUUUUGAAACUUCCUUUCUAGAGUAUGGUAGAGGUUGGGAGAAUUCCUAGUGUAGAGGUGAAAUUCGUAGAUAUUAGGAGGAAUACCAGUGGCGUAGGC
This 350-nucleotide ribosomal RNA is filed under the name uncultured bacterium. RNAcentral's name for it is "bacterial SSU rRNA". It matches the Rfam family "Bacterial small subunit ribosomal RNA", at positions 355 to 722 of the family's 1533-position model. The record is from RNAcentral.